Molecule: long non-coding RNA, 1172 nt
Organism: Astatotilapia calliptera (eastern happy)
Lineage: Eukaryota; Metazoa; Chordata; Actinopteri; Cichliformes; Cichlidae
Source: Ensembl
GCAAGGAUGUAACACGAUGCUUCUAGUCAGCUGGUAGCUAAGCAGCUAAUGAAUGAGACAGUUAUUGUGGAGCAUGAAUUUUUGGUGCUGUUUUGUUUUACUAUUAUGAGCACAUGACCAUGAAUGGAAUUUAAUUCCCCUGCAGCAUCCGUCUUACAACAAUGGAUCAGCAAGGAGUAACCCUCACUGGACAGCAUGAACAGAUGAUUUCUUUUAUUAUUUACCUUGGAGAACUUUUAGAGAAACAUGUGCUGCCAUAAUCUAGCACAGAUGUCAAGAUGACCUCCAUCUUUACGGUUUGUUUGUUAAUAAAAUCAUGUGAAACCUUUUGUGUUUCAGCAUAACUGAGAAUCUUAGGUGUGAUGUGGCCACUUGGCAGCUGUGAUGCUUACGUUGUUUCUUCUUCUUCCUCUUGUAAAUUACUACCGCUACCAUUCCUGAUACUUCUCUGACCCACUACCCCACCCACAGUGUUAUCAAGAAGCAGCAGUUCCUCAUAAUCAAGGAGACGAGUUUACAAGCUAAAAUUAGCCCCUCAUUCUAUCUGAUGGCUCAGCGGGAAUGAUGGAUGCCAUGGGUGGGGGAGGACCACAGUGAUAUAGGAUGCUAUAACUUUCAUGUCGUCUCCAAAAAAAAUACAAUUAAAAAUUAAAAAAGAGGUUUUCCUUGAGUAAUUUGGUCAAGGUGGCUCCCUUGGGUGUUCCAGCCAAUAUGAAAAGUGGAAAAAAAGAAAAAUUGAGAGUCAAACAUCCCACAUUGCUUCCUCCCGCCGUCCUGAUUGGGGGUAGUUAGAUGGAGACAGACAACGUAUGAGUCACCAGCCCAGCCCCCACCUCAUCUCCUCUGUGAGACUGUAAAAGAAUGAUAUAGAAAGAGGAAAUAUCACAACCCAGCUGCCUGUCAGCAACCCUGAUAAUUCCACCAACUUCAGUGUAAUGCAUCGCGUCAGCUUAACCACAAAUGUCACACUUCUAUAAAAAUUAAGCAGAAUAGCCACAUAAUAAGCAUACAUUAUAUUUUUGUGUAUGCAUUUGUGUGCAGAGGCAUGGUCCACCUUAAGAGAUUACAUUGUACAGUUCUCACCCACGCACUGAUAAUCUGUCACUGCACAUUAUACAAGAUGAAAUAUGAACCUGGACGGAGUUUUAGGCAGUAAGUUGCUGAUAUUUUGG